Molecule: ribosomal RNA, 305 nt
Filed under: uncultured bacterium
Lineage: Bacteria
Description: bacterial SSU rRNA
Rfam family: Bacterial small subunit ribosomal RNA
Source: RNAcentral
AUUCCUACGGGACGCAGCAGUAGGGAAUCUUCCACAAUGGGCGAAAGCCUGAUGAAGCAACGCCGCGUGGGUGAAGAAGGUCUUCGGAUCGUAAAACCCUGUUGUUAGAGAAGAAAGUGCGUGAGAGUAACUGUUCACGUUUCGACGGUAUCUAACCAGAAAGCCACGGCUAACUACGUGCCAGCAGGCGCGGUAAUACGAAGGUGGCAAGCGUUAUCCGGAUUUAUUGGGCGUAAAGGGAACGCAGGCGGUCUUUUAAGGCUGAAGUGGAAGCCUUCGGCUUAAACGGAGGAGUGCAUUGGAAA